This 460-nucleotide ribosomal RNA is filed under the name uncultured bacterium. RNAcentral's name for it is "partial 16S ribosomal RNA". It matches the Rfam family "Bacterial small subunit ribosomal RNA", at positions 338 to 795 of the family's 1533-position model. The record is from RNAcentral.
CCUACGGGUGGCAGCAGUGAGGAAUAUUGGUCAAUGGACGAGAGUCUGAACCAGCCAAGUAGCGUGAAGGAUGACUGCCCUAUGGGUUGUAAACUUCUUUUAUAAAGGAAUAAAACGAGGCACGUGUGCCUUUUUGCAUGUACUUUAUGAAUAAGGAUCGGCUAACUCCGGGCCAGCAGCCGCGGUAAUACGGAGGAUCCGAGCGUUAUCCGGAUUUCGUGGGGUUAAAGGGAGCGUAGAUGGGUUGUUAAGUCAGUUGUGUAAGUUUGCGGCUCAACCGUAAAAUUGCAAUUGAUACUGGCAGUCUUGAGUACAGUUGAGGUAGGCGGAAUUCGUGGUGUAGCGGUGAAAUGCUUAGAUAUCACGAAGAACCCCGAUUGCGAAGGCAGCUUACUAAACUGUGACUGACAUUGAUGCUCGAAAGUGUGGGUAUCAAACAGGAUUAGAUACCCGAGUAGUC